GACCAACGCUGGCGGCGUGCUUAACACAUGCAAGUCGAACGGAAAGGCCCUGCUUUUGUGGGGUGCUCGAGUGGCGAACGGGUGAGUAACACGUGAGUAACCUGCCCUUGACUUUGGGAUAACUUCAGGAAACUGGGGCUAAUACCGGAUAGGAGCUCCUGCUGCAUGGUGGGGGUUGGAAAGUUUCGGCGGUUGGGGAUGGACUCGCGGCUUAUCAGCUUGUUGGUGGGGUAGUGGCUUACCAAGGCUUUGACGGGUAGCCGGCCUGAGAGGGUGACCGGCCACAUUGGGACUGAAAUACGGCCCAGACUCCUACGGGAGGCAGCAGUGGGGAAUAUUGCACAAUGGGCGGAAGCCUGAUGCAGCAACGCCGCGUGCGGGAUGACGGCCUUCUGGUUGUAAACCGCUUUCGCCUGUGACGAAGCGUGAGUGACGGUAAUGGGUAAAGAAGCACCGGCUAACUACGUG
RNAcentral lists this ribosomal RNA (468 nucleotides) under uncultured bacterium. RNAcentral describes it as "partial 16S ribosomal RNA". It matches the Rfam family "Bacterial small subunit ribosomal RNA", at positions 28 to 507 of the family's 1533-position model. The record is from RNAcentral.